CAACAUCUAAUUAUGCCAAUAAUUUUCUAUUGUCUCAUUGACACUAAUAAUCUAAUAAUAGAAGAAUUUAUAUAAUAACUUAUAAUAGUCUUGUAAGAGGCAUAAUACCAUUUUUUUACCACAAAGAAUUGAUAUAAGUAAUAUGUAGAUAAGCAUCAGCAACAGAAGACCUUUUAAGAAGAUGACCAAGUAUUAUUCUCUAAUGCCAACCUUCCACUUGCUA
Molecule: long non-coding RNA, 223 nt
Filed under: Physcomitrium patens
Lineage: Eukaryota; Viridiplantae; Streptophyta; Bryopsida; Funariales; Funariaceae
Description: long non-coding RNA (PPAT_LNC008800)
Source: RNAcentral